Molecule: ribosomal RNA, 404 nt
Filed under: Bacillus toyonensis
Lineage: Bacteria; Bacillati; Bacillota; Bacilli; Caryophanales; Bacillaceae
Description: bacterial SSU rRNA
Rfam family: Bacterial small subunit ribosomal RNA
Source: RNAcentral
UCGAGCGAGUGUGAUUCGAGAGCUUGCUCUCAGAAGUUAGCGGCGGACGGCGUGAGUAACACGUGGGUAACCUGCCCAUAAGACUGGGAUAACUCCGGGAAACCGGGGCUAAUACCGGAUAACAUUUUGAACUGCAUGGUUCGAAAUUGAAAGGCGGCUUCGGCUGUCACUUAUGGAUGGACCCGCGUCGCAUUAGCUAGUUGGUGAGGUAACGGCUCACCAAGGCAACGAUGCGUAGCCGACCUGAGAGGGUGAUCGGCCACACUGGGACUGAUACACGGCCCAGACUCCUACGGGAGGCAGCAGUAGGGAAUCUUCCGCAAUGGACGAAAGUCUGACGGAACAACGCCGCGUGAGUGAUGAAGGCUUUCGGGUCGUAAAACUCUGUUGUUAGGGAAGAACAA